Molecule: ribosomal RNA, 445 nt
Filed under: uncultured bacterium
Lineage: Bacteria
Description: partial 16S ribosomal RNA
Rfam family: Bacterial small subunit ribosomal RNA
Source: RNAcentral
CCAGACUCCUACGGGAGGCAGCAGUGGGGGAUAUUGCACAAUGGGGGAAACCCUGAAGCAGCAACGCCGCGUGGAGGAUGAAGGUUUUCGGAUUGUAAACUCCUUUUGUUAGAGAAGAUAAUGACGGUAUCUAACGAAUAAGCACCGGCUAACUCCGUGCCAGCAGCCGCGGUAAUACGGAGGGUGCAAGCGUUACUCGGAAUCACUGGGCGUAAAGAGUGCGUAGGCGGGGUAAUAAGUCAGAUGUGAAAUCCUGUAGCUUAACUACAGAACUGCAUUUGAAACUGUUACUCUGGAGUGUGGGAGAGGUAGGUGGAAUUCUUGGUGUAGGGGUAAAAUCCGUAGAGAUCAAGAGGAACACCGGCGGCGAAGGCGGCCUGCUGGACCGUGACUGACGUUGAGGCUCGAGAGCGUGGGGAGCAAACAGGAUUAGAUACCCUCGUAC